CGAAGCAGGCGGACCCAGGAUUUGGCGCCGCGAUCUCGAGGCUUGGCCUGGAGCCGUGGAGCUGCGGAGCCUGUGGCGGGAGCACGCGUGCGUGGUGGCCGGGCUGCGGCGCUUCGGGUGCGUGGUGUGCCGCUGGAUCGCCCAGGACCUCAGCAGCCUUGCUGGGCUCCUGGACCAACACGGCGUGCGCCUGGUGGGCGUAGGGCCCGAGGCCCUGGGUCUGCAGGAGUUCCUGGACGGCGACUACUUCGCGGGAGAGCUCUACCUGGAUGAGAGCAAGCAGCUUUACAAGGAGCUAGGCUUCAAGCGGUACAACAGCCUGAGCAUCCUCCCAGCAGCUCUGGGGAAGCCCGUGCGUGAUGUGGCUGCCAAGGCCAAGGCUGUUGGCAUCCAGGGGAACUUGUCUGGGGACCUGCUGCAGAGCGGAGGGCUGCUGGUGGUCAGCAAAGAAGUCCCCAGGCGACUACGUCCCCAAGGAGCACAUCCUGCAGGUCCUGGGCAUCUCUGCGGAGGUCUGUGCCAGCGACCCGCCUCAGUGUGACAGAGAGGUGUGAGGGAGGCGAAGGCCCUGGCCUCCGAGGAUCUGGGUGGCGUCUGCUGCCCUAGGUGUGCUGGAAGUCCACUUGGAAGAACUGUUCCGGAGGCGCUGGGUCGGGAUGCCGAACCUCUCCUGAUCCGCCGGCAGCAACGAGCCAUUAAAACUGCAGUUCCUGACCACGCACUGCUUCGCAGGCUCCGAGCCCUGCAUCCUCCACAGCCCCCGCCUUGCUCACUGUUGGGCCCUC
Molecule: unclassified non-coding RNA, 785 nt
Filed under: Homo sapiens (human)
Lineage: Eukaryota; Metazoa; Chordata; Mammalia; Primates; Hominidae
Description: peroxiredoxin like 2B (ENSG00000275125.4)
Source: RNAcentral